CCUACGGGAGGCAGCAGUGGGGAAUAUUGGGCAAUGGGCGCAAGCCUGACGCAGCAACGCCGCGUGAAGGAAGAAGGCUUUCGGGUUUUAAACUUCUUUUCUCAGGGACGAAGCAAGUCACGGUCCCUGAAGAAUAAGCCACGGCUAAAUACGUGCCAGCAGCCGCGGUAAUAUGUAGGGGGCACGCGUUAUCCGGAUUUACUGGGUGUAAAGGGCGUGUAGGGGGGGAAGCAAGUCAGAUGUGAAAACCAUGGGCUCAACCUGUGGCCUGCAUUUGAAACUGUUUUUCUUGAGUACUGGAGAGGCAGGCGGAAUUCCUAGUGUAGCGGUGAAAUGCGUAGAUAUUAGGAGGAACACCAGUGGCGAAGGCGGUCUGCUGGACAGCUACUGACGCUGAGGCGCGAAAGCGUGGGGAGCAAACAGGAUUAGAUACCCGAGUAGUC
This 443-nucleotide ribosomal RNA is filed under the name uncultured bacterium. RNAcentral's name for it is "partial 16S ribosomal RNA". It matches the Rfam family "Bacterial small subunit ribosomal RNA", at positions 338 to 795 of the family's 1533-position model. The record is from RNAcentral.